Molecule: small nuclear RNA, 191 nt
Organism: Sphaeramia orbicularis (orbiculate cardinalfish)
Lineage: Eukaryota; Metazoa; Chordata; Actinopteri; Kurtiformes; Apogonidae
Gene: U2
Rfam family: U2 spliceosomal RNA
About the family: U2 is a small nuclear RNA (snRNA) component of the spliceosome (involved in pre-mRNA splicing). Complementary binding between U2 snRNA (in an area lying towards the 5' end but 3' to hairpin I) and the branchpoint sequence (BPS) of the intron results the bulging out of an unpaired adenosine, on the BPS, which initiates a nucleophilic attack at the intronic 5' splice site, thus starting the first of two transesterification reactions that mediate splicing.
Source: Ensembl
AUCGCUUCUCUGCCUUUUGCCUAAGAUCAAGUAUAGUGUCGGUUUUUAUCAGGUUAAUAACUGAUAUGUUCACUAUCUGGGGAUCAUAUGUUAAACUGAUUUUUGGAACAGGGAGACGGAAUAGGGGCUUACUCCAUCCACUUGAUGCAUUUACCUGGUAUUGCAGUACUUCCAGUAUCAGUGUACUCCCC